Molecule: long non-coding RNA, 771 nt
Organism: Rhincodon typus (whale shark)
Lineage: Eukaryota; Metazoa; Chordata; Chondrichthyes; Orectolobiformes; Rhincodontidae
Exons: 2
Source: RefSeq, a predicted model, not a curated record
ACGAGCUGCAGCCAAGGGGUGUGGACAAAUGGAAAUUCGGCUGGCAACAAACAUCUGAUUGGUCUGAGGAAUGGUUGUCAAUGACAGAGGCCUUCUGCCUGCCAACAACUGUGUAUUUGGCUUCCAGGUAGCUGAACAGCUGUGGGUAUGAAUGUUUGGGCAGAUACUGUCAGACCUCCAAAAGUGCGAGUGAAACGAGUCCUGGAGCAGCAUGAGGGGAAAUGAGUCCUGCAGCAGUGUGCAUGGAAGUGAGUCCUGGAGCAGCACGAGGGGAAGCGAGUCCCAAUGCAGCACAAGGGGAAACAAGCCUUGGAGCAGCAUGAGGGAAACAAGUCUUGGUGCAGCGUGAGGGAAAGCGAGUCCCGGAGCAGUGCAACUUACCUUGGUGCAGCCGAGUGCCGGUGCAGAGUGGAUUGGAGGCUUGGAACAGAGCGGGACUGUUGUUGGGCUGGGGCCUAGGCAGUCAAAUCACGUGUGGAACUACUGCUGUUUGGAAUUCUUUACUGAAUUGUAAUGUCAAUCUAACUAUGUAUAUAACAAUAUAACGUUAACUAUGUUAUAACUGCCUUAUUUCUAACCUUUUUUUAAGACACUGUAAGUAAUGCUACUACUCCUUUUAUUCCUCUUUUGUAUGUAAGAUUUAUAAAUAAGUACUUGUACCUAAGAUAGUACCAUUAAAGGCAGCCAUUGUAAAAACUUUUCACUGUACUCCUGUAUUUCUGUAGUGGAGUACACGUGAUAAUAAAGGAUAGUCAAUUCUAUUUUAAGACA